This 495-nucleotide ribosomal RNA is filed under the name uncultured bacterium. Its description in RNAcentral is "partial 16S ribosomal RNA". It matches the Rfam family "Bacterial small subunit ribosomal RNA", at positions 28 to 507 of the family's 1533-position model. The record is from RNAcentral.
GACGAACGCUGGCGGCGUGCCUAAUACAUGCAAGUCGAACGCUGAAGGCGGAGCUUUCUUCUCUGGAUGAGUGGCGAACGGGUGAGUAACGCGUAGGUAACCUGCCUUGUAGCGGGGGAUAACUAUUGGAAACGAUGGCUAAUACCGCAUAGUAGCAGUUGUUGCAUGGCAACUGUUGGAAAGGUGCAAUGGCACGACUACCAGAUGGAGCUGCUUUGGAUUAGCGAGGUGGUGGGGUAACGGCUCACCAAGGCGACGAUACAUAGUGGACCGGAGAGGGGGGUCGGCCACACUGGGACUGAGACACGGCCCAGACUGCUACGGGAGGCAGCAGUAGGGAUACUUAGGCAAUGGAUGGAAGUUUGAGCGAGCAAGGCCGAGGGCGGGAAGAAGGUUGUCGGAUCGGAAAGGUCGGUUGUAAGGGAAGAAAGAGUGUGAGAGUGGAAAGUUCACAGUGUGACGGUAUCUGACAAGAAAGGGACGGCUAACUACGUG